This 253-nucleotide ribosomal RNA is filed under the name uncultured microorganism. RNAcentral describes it as "partial 16S ribosomal RNA". It matches the Rfam family "Bacterial small subunit ribosomal RNA", at positions 524 to 776 of the family's 1533-position model. The record is from RNAcentral.
UACGUAGGGUGCAAGCGUUAAUCGGAAUUACUGGGCGUAAAGCGUACGUAGGCGGCUUGUUAAGCAAGAUGUGAAAUCCCCGGGCUCAACCUGGGAAUGGCAUUUUGAACUGGCAGGCUCGAGUUCUGAAGAGGGUGGUAGAAUUUCCAGUGUAGCGGUGAAAUGCGUAGAUAUUGGAAGGAAUACCGGUGGCGAAGGCGGCCACCUGGUCAGAAACUGACGCUGAGGUACGAAAGCGUGGGGAGCAAACAGG